This is an RNA transcript of Sander lucioperca (pikeperch), 2374 nucleotides long. It is a transcript of the gene named CWC25 spliceosome associated protein homolog, with no coding region annotated. The transcript is spliced from 10 exons. The record is from RefSeq and is a predicted model, not a curated record. NCBI's taxonomy places the organism in Eukaryota, Metazoa, Chordata, Actinopteri, Perciformes, Percidae.
AAAGUGAAUUAUGCAAAACAGGAAAUGUACAAAACACAUCACACACACAAGCCUGGUGGCUCUAUUUUCUAGCUAGCGUUGAACUUUCGUUGUUCCACCUUUUUUUUAUUUGAGGACAGAUUUGUUUAUUUCCUUUUUUGUUGGAUUGAAACGACACAUUUUUCAAGAUGGGGGGCGGCGAUCUGAACUUGAAAAAGAGCUGGCAUCCCCAGACUAUGAAAAAUAUUGAGCGUGUUUGGAAAGCUGAACAGAAACAUGAGGCUGAAUGCAAGAAGAUUGAGGAGCUCCAGAAAGAACUGAAAGACGAACGAGCCCGAGAAGAAAUAACAAGAUUUGCACAGGAAUCCGGCUCCAUCAAAAAGAAGGAUGAUCGCCUGGACUGGAUGUACCAGGGCCCUGCUGGUCAGGUGUCCAGAGAUGAGUAUCUGCUGGGACGCUCCAUUGACAAGCAGAUCACCGACCAAUACGAGGAGCCAGAGAGUGGUCCGUCGGCGGAGACUGGCCUCCUGCCGGGGUCCAUUUUCAACCCCACCACUCCUGCCUCCAACCUGGACCUGGCUGCCAAGAUCAGGGAAGAUCCCCUGUUUGAAAUCAGGAAACGCGAGGAAGAAAAGAAGAGAGAAGUCUUGAGUAAUCCAGUGAAGAUGAAGAAAAUUAAAGAAAUGCUGCGCCAGAAUCUUGACAAGAGAGACAAGAAGAAGAAGAGGAAGAAGGAAAAGAAGGAGAAGCAGAGGAAAGAAGACAAAGAGAGAAGAAAGGAGAAGAAGCACAAGAGAAGGAGUUCAAGUUCCGGCUCAGACGAGGAGGACGAGAAAAAACACCGGUUACAUUCACGAGAUGAAUCUUCAGCAGACACCAAAUCUCGUUCCCAUCAUCUUCCGGGCUACGGCCUACUGCUCCCCGCGGGCAGACAUCACCAGUCCUCCGCUCCCUCCAAUCACUCAGGGCGCCGCGAGAGGAGCCGCUCCCGAUCACCUCCCAGGAACAACAGGGACAGCCAGCUCAACUCUUCCUCCUCACACAGAGGCGACAGGAAGGUUGAGCCCAGAGCUUCCAGCCUACAGACAGCGCGGAACCACAGACCGAGGCACCCAGUGUCCAAGAAGCUCUCUGCAGAGGAGCUGGAGCGCAAGAGGCGGGAGAUGAUGGACCAGGCCAAGCAGAGGGAGGAGGACAGGGAGAACAACGUGAGGAGAUACAAGAAGCAGGACGAGCAGGAAAAGCAGCGGGAACAAAAUGCCAAGCACGAACGCCACGCUGGCUUCAUUCAUAACAUGAAGCUGGAGAGCGCUGCCAGCUCUUCCGUAGAGGACCGGGUGAAGAGGAACAUCCACUCCAUUCAGAGGACCGCAGCCUCCCUGGACAACUUCAUGAAGAGAUGAAGACUCAACACGUGUAUCAUACAGAUAAACUGAACUGAUUGGGGGGAAAAAAGGCCUUGGCAAGAGUAAAGGUCCUUGCACACCGAGUCCGAAAUUAUGGUAUGCGUUUUUAAAAAAAUCGCAAAAACAAUAUAUAAUGUGACGCUGCCGUCGCUCUGAAAGAGUUGCGCUGCCCUCUCUCUCUCUGUCGCCAUCACUACACUGUUGCUCUCCUUUUUCCUGUCUGUUCUCAUAUUCCCCUCUCCCUCUAUUCAUUCUCUUCCUCAUCAACCUACUGGAUAUUACCAUCUGACCUGUUGACAGACUAUCUUGAGCGGGCAAAGCAGAGAAAGGGGGGGUAACCUUGCCCCUUAUGACCUCAAAGGGGAAGAUUCCAGAUCGGCCCAUCUGAGCGUUCAUUUCAUCAAAGGCAGAGCAGGACACCCAGGGCUCGGUUUACAUCUAUCACCAUUUCUAUCUACUGGGGGACCAUAGGCAGGCUGGGGGAACGCAUAUUAAUGUUAAAAAACCUCAUAAAGAGAAAUUUUCAUGCCAUGGGACCUUUAACGUCCAAAAAUGUCGGUCUCAGUGUGCAAGGACCCUAAGCCACCCACACCUUUAUCUGUCUCUUUAAUGUAUUGAAGCAGAUGUGUACGAGGAUGGAUGGUGUCAUGCGAUCAAACAAGGAACUACAUGGCCCCAUGCCUAACUGUGGCUUUUAUUUUGAAAAAUAGUUUCCGCAACGGUAUAUUUCAGACUAUGACGGCUAAUCUGUUUUAGUUACUUUUCUUAAAAGCCAAUACCCCUUUAAAGUUCACGUGAUCUGGACUUUGUACAGUAUAUUGUUUUAAUUUUUACAGUAUAAUAGGACCUGCUUUUAUCUAAUAAGGUUUUUGUAGUAUAUGUUUGUUACUUGGUGUACUCCUGUGAGUUGCAAAUGUAAUAAAAAAAACAUAUUUCCAGAGCUCCAUUAUUUGUUUUCGCUUAUUGAAAUAAACGUAUGUUGUCACUGG